CCUACGGGUGGCAGCAGUAGGGAAUCUUCGGCAAUGGGGGGAACCCUGACCGAGCAACGCCGCGUGAAGGAAGAAGGAAUUCGUUCUGUAAACUUCUGUUAUAAAGGAAGAAAGACGGAUGGAGGAAAUGACAUCCGAGUGACGGUACUUUAUGAGAAAGCCACGGCUAACUACGUGCCAGCAGCCGCGGUAAUACGUAGGUGGCAAGCGUUAUCCGGAAUUAUUGGGCGAAAGGAGGGAGCAGGCGGCAGCAAAGGUCUGUGGGGAAAGAUUGAAGCAAAACUUCAGUAAGCCAGUGAAACCGGGCAGCUAGAGUGCAGGAGAGGAACGUGGAAUUCCAUGUGUAGUGGUGAAAUGCGUAGAUAUAAGGAGGAACACCAGUGGCGAAGGCGACGAUCUGGCCUGCAACUGACGCUCAGUCCCGAAAGCGUGGGGAGCAAAUAGGAUUAGAUACCCCUGUAGUC
This 464-nucleotide ribosomal RNA is filed under the name uncultured bacterium. RNAcentral's name for it is "partial 16S ribosomal RNA". It matches the Rfam family "Bacterial small subunit ribosomal RNA", at positions 338 to 795 of the family's 1533-position model. The record is from RNAcentral.